CCCACGCUCAAUCCACUGAGCUACACCAGCCAGGGCUUUUUUCUGAUUUUUAUGGUUUCAAUUUGGAAGAUUCUAUGUUUCUAGGAAUUUACCCAUUUUAUCCAGAUUGUCCAACUUGUUGGCAUAUAGUAGUUCAUAAUAUUUUCUUACAAUUUUUUUUGUAUUUCUGUGAUUUCAGUUGUUACUUCUCUUUCAUUUCUAUUUUAUUUAUUUGGGAGCCCUCUCUCUCUCUCUCUCUCU
Molecule: long non-coding RNA, 240 nt
Organism: Phyllostomus discolor (pale spear-nosed bat)
Lineage: Eukaryota; Metazoa; Chordata; Mammalia; Chiroptera; Phyllostomidae
Exons: 4
Source: RefSeq, a predicted model, not a curated record